RNAcentral lists this ribosomal RNA (1120 nucleotides) under Enterobacter sp. HP10. RNAcentral describes it as "bacterial SSU rRNA". It matches the Rfam family "Bacterial small subunit ribosomal RNA", at positions 1 to 1114 of the family's 1533-position model. Lineage: Bacteria; Pseudomonadati; Pseudomonadota; Gammaproteobacteria; Enterobacterales; Enterobacteriaceae. The record is from RNAcentral.
AUUAGAGUUUGAUCCUGGCUCAGAUUGAACGCUGGCGGCAGGCCUAACACAUGCAAGUCGAGCGGCAGCGGAAAGUAGCUUGCUACUUUGCCGGCGAGCGGCGGACGGGUGAGUAAUGUCUGGGAAACUGCCUGAUGGAGGGGGAUAACUACUGGAAACGGUAGCUAAUACCGCAUAACGUCGCAAGACCAAAGAGGGGGACCUUCGGGCCUCUUGCCAUCAGAUGUGCCCAGAUGGGAUUAGCUAGUAGGUGGGGUAACGGCUCACCUAGGCGACGAUCCCUAGCUGGUCUGAGAGGAUGACCAGCCACACUGGAACUGAGACACGGUCCAGACUCCUACGGGAGGCAGCAGUGGGGAAUAUUGCACAAUGGGCGCAAGCCUGAUGCAGCCAUGCCGCGUGUAUGAAGAAGGCCUUCGGGUUGUAAAGUACUUUCAGCGGGGAGGAAGGCGAUAAGGUUAAUAACCUUGUCGAUUGACGUUACCCGCAGAAGAAGCACCGGCUAACUCCGUGCCAGCAGCCGCGGUAAUACGGAGGGUGCAAGCGUUAAUCGGAAUUACUGGGCGUAAAGCGCACGCAGGCGGUCUGUCAAGUCGGAUGUGAAAUCCCCGGGCUCAACCUGGGAACUGCAUUCGAAACUGGCAGGCUAGAGUCUUGUAGAGGGGGGUAGAAUUCCAGGUGUAGCGGUGAAAUGCGUAGAGAUCUGGAGGAAUACCGGUGGCGAAGGCGGCCCCCUGGACAAAGACUGACGCUCAGGUGCGAAAGCGUGGGGAGCAAACAGGAUUAGAUACCCUGGUAGUCCACGCCGUAAACGAUGUCGACUUGGAGGUUGUGCCCUUGAGGCGUGGCUUCCGGAGCUAACGCGUUAAGUCGACCGCCUGGGGAGUACGGCCGCAAGGUUAAAACUCAAAUGAAUUGACGGGGGCCCGCACAAGCGGUGGAGCAUGUGGUUUAAUUCGAUGCAACGCGAAGAACCUUACCUACUCUUGACAUCCAGAGAACUUUCCAGAGAUGGAUUGGUGCCUUCGGGAACUCUGAGACAGGUGCUGCAUGGCUGUCGUCAGCUCGUGUUGUGAAAUGUUGGGUUAAGUCCCGCAACGAGCGCAACCCUUAUCCUUUG